ACUUUCCAUUUGUUGCAACAUAUCCUUCGGGUUUUUAUAACUUUCCAUACUAUGAGACGGUUUAUAUAUCUCAAAUGAUAGCAACAAGUAUUUGUGGUUUGAUGAUUCUUGCAACCGACACUUUAAUUGCAAGUGCUUUACUCCACACAUGUGGUCAUUUUCAAAUACUUAAAGAGAAUUUAAAGCAAGUAGACUCAGAUAUUUACUGUGUAAGUAUAACAUCAUUUAUGUUACGCCCCAACUAAACAAUGAUCUAAAAAGAUAUGAUAUUUUAUAGUUGAAUAAUUUAAAAAAUAAUUCAGAAAGCAUAAGUGCAAUUUCGUGCAGAAUAAAGAUUCAAAUAGCGCACAUUAUUAAGCAUCAUCAAGUGAUACUUUGGUAAGUCAACUUAAUACUUGUAUGUAAGUGAUUCUCUUAUUCAGUCUAAUAAAAUUUAGGUUUUGUGACAAUAUGGAAAAAAAUUUUCAUCUGAUGCUGUUACUGCAAACUCUGGCCAGUAGUCUCAUAUUCUGUUUUGUCGGUUUACAAGUUUCUACAGUAAGGACAAUUUUAAAACUUCUUACUAACUUUAAAACUUCUAUUAUAGAUUACUUUGAUUAUAGACAUUAAUGGAUCAAUCUAAGUUAAUGAGAUAUGGUUCUCAUUUAAUAAUGGCAGUGUUCCAAUUACUGCUUUUCUGUUUGCCUGGGGAUAUGUUAAUCUCUCAGGUAAAAUGAAUUUCAAACGAACGUGAAUCAUAUUAUUCAAUACAAAAUGAAAUUUUUAAUUUGAAAUUAUUACGUAUUGUAACAGAGUAGUGGCAUACGUCAAGCUGUGUAUUCUAUACAAUGGUAUAGAUUAUCCACUUCUAUCAGGUGUGAAACAUGGAUGAUCAUGUUACGUUCGCAAAAACCUAGUUACAUUACAGCAGGGAAACUGUAUAUUAUGCAUUUAGAAAACUUCAGUGCGGUAAAAGUUGAUUUACAUAUCUACGUAUAAAAUCAUAUAAAAUUUUUAAUAUUAUGAUACUGCUUACGAUGUACAAACAUUACAUACAUUAUUUCUAUACAUUUUGCAGACUCUCAGUACUGCACUAUCAUAUUUCAUGAUGUUCCGUAGCUUCGGUUUGGAAGCUUAAGACUCAAGAAUUGGUUUUUAUAAUUAGAAAUAUUUGACGAAUAACUAUAUUACAUACAAACGUUGAAUGGUCAAGUAUCCUGUUGUACACUCAUUACAUGUACGCACCCCAACCGAAAUACAUUUGACAAAGAUUAUCUAA
Molecule: non-coding RNA, 1258 nt
Organism: Megalopta genalis
Lineage: Eukaryota; Metazoa; Arthropoda; Insecta; Hymenoptera; Halictidae
Source: RefSeq, a predicted model, not a curated record